This 83-nucleotide transfer RNA is filed under the name Rhodobacterales bacterium. RNAcentral describes it as "tRNA-Leu". It matches the Rfam family "tRNA". Rfam says of the family: Transfer RNA (tRNA) molecules are approximately 80 nucleotides in length. Their secondary structure includes four short double-helical elements and three loops (D, anti-codon, and T loops). Further hydrogen bonds mediate the characteristic L-shaped molecular structure. tRNAs have two regions of fundamental functional importance: the anti-codon, which is responsible for specific mRNA codon recognition, and the 3' end, to which the tRNAs corresponding amino acid is attached (by aminoacyl-tRNA synthetases). tRNAs cope with the degeneracy of the genetic code in two manners: having more than one tRNA (with a specific anti-codon) for a particular amino acid; and 'wobble' base-pairing, i.e. permitting non-standard base-pairing at the 3rd anti-codon position. Lineage: Bacteria; Pseudomonadati; Pseudomonadota; Alphaproteobacteria; Rhodobacterales. The record is from RNAcentral.
GGCGGCGUGGCGGAAUGGUAGACGCGAGGGACUUAAAAUCCCUUUCCCAUGGAGUGUGGGUUCGAGUCCCACCGCCGCUACCA